Molecule: ribosomal RNA, 424 nt
Filed under: Verrucomicrobiota bacterium
Lineage: Bacteria; Pseudomonadati; Verrucomicrobiota
Description: Verrucomicrobia bacterium partial 16S ribosomal RNA
Rfam family: Bacterial small subunit ribosomal RNA
Source: RNAcentral
UGAGGAAUAUUGGUCAAUGGGCGAGAGCCUGAACCAGCCAAGUAGCGUGCAGGAUGACGGCCCUAUGGGUUGUAAACUGCUUUUAUAUGGGAAUAAAGUGAGGGACGUGUCCCUUAUUGCAUGUACCAUAUGAAUAAGGACCGGCUAAUUCCGUGCCAGCAGCCGCGGUAAUACGGAAGGUCCAGGCGUUAUCCGGAUUUAUUGGGUUUAAAGGGAGCGUAGGCUGUUUGUUAAGCGUGUUGUGAAAUGUAAGAGCUCAACUUUUAGAUUGCAGCGCGAACUGGCAGACUUGAGUGCGCACAACGUAGGCGGAAUUCAUGGUGUAGCGGUGAAAUGCUUAGAUAUCAUGACGAACUCCGAUUACGAAGGCAGCUUACGGAAGCGCAACUGACGCUAAAGCUCGAAGGUGCGGGUAUCGAACAGG